Molecule: ribosomal RNA, 449 nt
Filed under: uncultured bacterium
Lineage: Bacteria
Description: partial 16S ribosomal RNA
Rfam family: Bacterial small subunit ribosomal RNA
Source: RNAcentral
AGUGAACGCUGGCGGCAGGCCUAACACAUGCAAGUCGAACGGAUCCUUCGGGAUUAGUGGCGGACGGGUGAGUAACGCGUGGGAACAUACCCUUUGGUACGGAAUAGCCUCGGGAAACUGGGAGUAAUACCGUAUGUGGUCGAGAGACGAAAGAUUUAUCGCCAAAGGAUUGGCCCGCGUUGGAUUAGGUAGUUGGUGGGGUAAUGGCCUACCAAGCCGACGAUCCAUAGCUGGUUUGAGAGGACGAUCAGCCACACUGGGACUGAGACACGGCCCAGACUCCUACGGGAGGCAGCAGUGGGGAAUCUUAGACAAUGGGGGAAACCCUGAUCUAGCCAUGCCGCGUGAUCGAUGAAGGCCUUAGGGUUGUAAAGAUCUUUCAGGUGGGAAGAUAAUGACUGUACCACCAGAAGAAGCCCCGGCUAACUCCGUGCCAGCAGCCGCCGUAA